This 87-nucleotide transfer RNA is filed under the name Melanthalia intermedia. RNAcentral's name for it is "tRNA-Leu". It matches the Rfam family "tRNA". Rfam says of the family: Transfer RNA (tRNA) molecules are approximately 80 nucleotides in length. Their secondary structure includes four short double-helical elements and three loops (D, anti-codon, and T loops). The record is from RNAcentral. Lineage: Eukaryota; Rhodophyta; Florideophyceae; Gracilariales; Gracilariaceae.
GCUCGCUUGGUGAAAUUAGGUAAACACGAUGGAUUUAAAAUUCAUUCUCAAUUAUUAGAGUUACUGGUUCAAAUCCGGUAGCGAGUA